UACGGGGGGAGCAAGCGUUGUUCGGAUUUACUGGGCGUAAAGGGUGCGUAGGUGGAUCGGUAAGUCCGUGGUGAAAUCCCCGAGCUUAACUCAGGAACUGCCGUGGAUACUAUCGAUCUUGAAUACUGUGGAGGUAAGCGGAAUAUGUCAUGUAGCGGUGAAAUGCUUAGAUAUGACAUAGAACACCGAUAGCGAAGGCAGCUUGCUACACAGUUAUUGACACUGAGGCACGGAAAGCGUGGGGAGCAAACAGG
Molecule: ribosomal RNA, 254 nt
Filed under: uncultured bacterium
Lineage: Bacteria
Description: partial 16S ribosomal RNA
Rfam family: Bacterial small subunit ribosomal RNA
Source: RNAcentral